RNAcentral lists this ribosomal RNA (504 nucleotides) under uncultured bacterium. RNAcentral describes it as "partial 16S ribosomal RNA". It matches the Rfam family "Bacterial small subunit ribosomal RNA", at positions 28 to 506 of the family's 1533-position model. The record is from RNAcentral.
GACGAACGCUGGCGGCGUGCCUAAUACAUGCAAGUAGAACGCACAGUUUAUACCGUAGCUUGCUACACCAUAGACUGUGAGUUGCGAACGGGUGAGUAACGCGUAGGUAACCUGCCUGGUAGCGGGGGAUAACUAUUGGAAACGAUAGCUAAUACCGCAUAAUAUUAAUUAUUGCAUGAUAAUUAAUUGAAAGGUGCAAUUGCACCACUACCAGAUGGACCUGCGUUGUAUUAGCUAGUAGGUGAGGUAACGGCUCACCUAGGCGACGAUACAUAGCCGACCUGAGAGGGUGAUCGGCCACACUGGGACUGAGACACGGCCCAGACUCCUACGGGAGGCAGCAGUAGGGAAUCUUCGGCAAUGGACGAAAGUCUGACCGAGCAACGCCGCGUGAGUGAAGAAGGUUUUCGGAUCGUAAAGCUCUGUUGUAAGAGAAGAACGGGUGUGAGAGUGGAAAGUUCACACUGUGACGGGAUCUUACCAGAAAGGGACGGCGAACUACGU